GUGCUUGCUUCAGCAGCACAUAUACUAAAAUUGGAACAAUACAGAGAAGGUUAGCAUGGUCCCUGCGCAAGGAUAACAGUAGCAUAAUAUACACUCCAGUUAG
Molecule: small nuclear RNA, 103 nt
Filed under: Chinchilla lanigera (long-tailed chinchilla)
Lineage: Eukaryota; Metazoa; Chordata; Mammalia; Rodentia; Chinchillidae
Source: RNAcentral